Molecule: long non-coding RNA, 1054 nt
Organism: Drosophila miranda
Lineage: Eukaryota; Metazoa; Arthropoda; Insecta; Diptera; Drosophilidae
Exons: 2
Source: RefSeq, a predicted model, not a curated record
GGGCGUAUUCGGUGCCAGUUUGCACAUCUUGUGCGACAUACACGAACGCGUAGCCGCCUGAAAGUGGGGAGAGGAGAGCCGUGCGGUGAACACGCUCUGCGAUGAACACUGACCCCGCGUCGUGUGUCUAGCCAAAAGGGGAGGGAUCAAGCCUACAUACUACUUACUUACUUCCUUUUCCAAGUUCUAUAUCUACUAAACGUUCUGCCGCUCUAAAUGCUGGUGAGAAAUGCUCUUAUAUAAGAGAGCCGCGCAGACAACUUUGGCUUGUGAUCGCAAGUCUGUGCUUGAGUGAUUCAUAGGUCAGGGAACGUUGAAGGUACGCGAAUGAGUACGGAACGAGUAAAUGUGAAAAAGCUGCGUCGCAACGCCAGCGCUAGGUGCCAGCGCAACGCCUAAAAAAAAGACACGCAUUGCCACCGCAUUUACGACCCGACAAGGCGACUUUUUCGAGGAAAAGCCAAAAUCAGAAAGCGUAAACAAAGAGAACGCCCCUUGCGUUGCAUCGCGCUCAUCUGUUGCCUUCAAGCCACCACUCGGAGCGUUGGCUUCACUUCCUAUUGAUUUUUUGGGGGCUCUCCUUGCUGCAUCUGAUCAGCCAGGGGCCAGGGUGACUGUUCCCACUCCUCUUACCUUCGGCUAUGACGCACUUGGUGCGCAGCUUGUGGCCCCCAAUUUCGACGAGCUGGCCGACGUAUUCGUUGUCCACUCUGCCACUGUUUGUGGCUGCUGCAGCUCCUCCUGCAGCCCCGUUGGCAGCUGUGUUGCCGUCGCUGGUGUUAAAGUAGCUGAAGUUCAGCGACUUGAAGAACUCGCCCAUUGUGCAGGUGGCUAACGAUGGUCGAUGGUGCGGACUGUGUGAAACGUAUUAACGCGAGUGAUUUGUUUUGAAUUUGUUGUGUCCGAUGUCCAUUAACAGAAUUCGGCGUCUUCCCAGUUCUGUCGGUUGUACGUGUUUGUGGUCUUGGACAUAGACAUGACGCCACGAAGUAUUUAAUAAAUUUUUCUUAAAAAGUUUCUUGGGAUCAGUGUGGCCGAGGAUUUAUCGUUAAAA